Long non-coding RNA from Zophobas morio, 371 nucleotides. RefSeq lists it as uncharacterized. The record is from RefSeq and is a predicted model, not a curated record. Lineage: Eukaryota; Metazoa; Arthropoda; Insecta; Coleoptera; Tenebrionidae. The transcript is spliced from 3 exons.
UUGAAAUUGACCAAGAUCUACUAGCACAAACAUAUAAGCGCUUACAGACAUUGUUUCACCCUGAUAAACUUUUAAAUAAACCUAAGAAGGAAAAAGCUUUGUUAGGGUUUGUGUCUGCAACGAUCAAUGAAGCUUAUACCACCUUAAAGGAUCCUUUAGCGAGGUCACUCUACUUGUUAAAAUUAAAAGGUACUGAAGUAUCUGAACAUGACAAACUUAAUGAUUCCAAAUUUUUGGGUGAAAUAAUGCAAUUAAGCGAGGACUUGCAAGAGUGCUCCUCACCUGAGGAGCGAUUAUUCUUGGUAAACAAAAUUAUAAAAGGGAAGGAAAAAAUCAUGGACGAAUUUAAAACUGCCUGGGCCAACGGGGAU